GCUUGUUGGUGAGGUAACGGCUCACCAAGGCGACGACGGGUAGCCGGCCUGAGAGGGCGACCGGCCACACUGGGACUGAGACACGGCCCAGACUCCUACGGGAGGCAGCAGUGGGGAAUAUUGCACAAUGGGCGAAAGCCUGAUGCAGCGACGCCGCGUGAGGGAUGACGGCCUUCGGGUUGUAAACCUCUUUCAGCAGGGAAGAAGCGAAAGUGACGGUACCUGCAGAAGAAGCGCCGGCUAACUACGUGCCAGCAGCCGCGGUAAUACGUAGGGCGCAAGCGUUGUCCGGAAUUAUUGGGCGUAAAGAGCUCGUAGGCGGCUUGUCACGUCGGUUGUGAAAGCCCGGGGCUUAACCCCGGGUCUGCAGUCGAUACGGGCAGGCUAGAGUUCGGUAGGGGAGAUCGGAAUUCCUGGUGUAGCGGUGAAAUGCGCAGAUAUCAGGAGGAACACCGGUGGCGAAGGCGGAUCUCUGGGCCGAUACUGACGCUGAGGAGCGAAAGCGUGGGGAGCGAACAGGAUUAGAUACCCUGGUAGUCCACGCCGUAAACGGUGGGCACUAGGUGUGGGCAACAUCCACG
This 581-nucleotide ribosomal RNA is filed under the name Streptomyces rochei. RNAcentral describes it as "bacterial SSU rRNA". It matches the Rfam family "Bacterial small subunit ribosomal RNA", at positions 244 to 836 of the family's 1533-position model. The record is from RNAcentral. Lineage: Bacteria; Bacillati; Actinomycetota; Actinomycetes; Kitasatosporales; Streptomycetaceae.